RNAcentral lists this ribosomal RNA (358 nucleotides) under uncultured Pelotomaculum sp. RNAcentral's name for it is "bacterial SSU rRNA". It matches the Rfam family "Bacterial small subunit ribosomal RNA", at positions 67 to 414 of the family's 1533-position model. Lineage: Bacteria; Bacillati; Bacillota; Clostridia; Eubacteriales; Desulfotomaculaceae. The record is from RNAcentral.
CGGAGGUUAUUUUGAAACUUAGUGAUAGAUAACCUUAGUGGCGGACGGGUGAGUAACGCGUGGAUAACCUGCCUACAUGCCUGGGACAACACCGGGAAACUGGUGCUAAUACCGGAUACGCUCUUGUAUGCACAUGCAUAUAAGAGGAAAGGAGCAAUCCGCAUAUAGAUGGGUCCGCGUCCCAUUAGCUAGUUGGAGGUGUAAGAGACCCCCAAGGCGACGAUGGGUAGCCGGCCUGAGAGGGUGGACGGCCACACUGGAACUGAGACACGGUCCAGACUCCUACGGGAGGCAGCAGUGGGGAAUCUUCCGCAAUGGGCGAAAGCCUGACGGAGCAACGCCGCGUGAGUGAAGAAGG